This 215-nucleotide ribosomal RNA is filed under the name uncultured bacterium. RNAcentral describes it as "partial 16S ribosomal RNA". It matches the Rfam family "Bacterial small subunit ribosomal RNA", at positions 524 to 732 of the family's 1533-position model. The record is from RNAcentral.
UACGUAGGGAGCAAGCGUUGUCCGGAAUCAUUGGGCGUAAAGCGCGCGUAGGUGGCCAUGUAAGUCCGCUGUGAAAGUCAAAGGCUCAACCUUUGAAAGCCGGUGGAUACUGCACGGCUAGAGUACGGAAGAGGCGAGUGGAAUCCGUGGAUGUCAGCGGUGGAAUGACGCAGACUAUCGAGGAGGAACACCAAUAGGCGAAGGCAGGUCACUGG